GCCGCCGCCGCCGCCGCCGCGCCGCGCGUAGGGAGGAAGAGGAAAUGCCCGGCGCCGGCUCCCGCUGCUCACCGGCGCGGCCCGAGGGGCGCCCGCCCGCCACGCCGCCCCUAGCCCCGCCUGGGGCGGGCCUAGGCCGGGCUAUAGGGGCCAGGGCCUUGGGCUGCGCCGGCCGCGGGAGGUGGGUGCUUCUCGGCGGCGAGCUGCGACUCGGAGAGACUCCUGUCCGCAGGUGCAUGGCUUCCGGGCGGGCCUCGGGCAGCGAGCUCCAGCCCCACUGAGAGGCCGCGGACCGCCUGGGGACUUGUGUUUGUGUGUAUUUUAAGCCAACAGCCCAGAAAGGGAAGGCGACUGGCCCCCGGUCUUCGCCAGUGUUUCCCGGCCGGGUUACUGGUGGUCAGGAGGGAAGCCAGGAGGCUGCCGGGCUCCGAGGCCGAUUCCUUGCGAACCAUCUCCGUUAAAGACUCCGCGCCGGGCAGCCCGGGAGUCCGGCGGUACCCGCGCAAACUUUGUCCCAGCGCCUUGGCUCACCGUGAAUGCCCUGCCUUGAAAAUUUGGAGUUUUUUGUUUCCUGAAAGUGGUCUGCUUUUCCGAUUUUAUCUGUGUUUUCCAUUUUUACCUUCUUAUUGUCAAUUUGUUUUCAGGCAUUAUUAAUUCAACAAAUCUUUGUACUGCCCCUUACCACGUGUCGAUGGUUCCGUGGUUUGGUGGAAAUAGAUCGCGCUUUGAAGUCAAGACGGAUCGGCCAUGGAAUUUUGGCUCUGAGAUCCUCUGUGUAACCGUGGAUGAGCUACAAGGCCUGCUGAGCCUCCAUUUGUCUGGUUUUUGUGGUUGUUUUAAUUUAUCUUUUUCCAUUUGAAGUUGUGGGUUUUGCAUAAAAUUGAACUGUUACCAGGCUAAGUCAACUGAAAUUGGAAUCUGGGGUACUGCUUGCUUUGAGGUUACUCUUAUACUGUCCACCAUUUGCUGGCUGUGUGAUCUCUAAACCUCUCUGUGCCCUGACUUUUCUAUCUUUAAAAUGGACGUAACAACAGAGGUUUAAUAAUAAGAGGUUUGGAGGUUAAGUGCUAAAAUGCAUAUAAAAUACCUAGCACAGGACACAGUAAAAAGAUUGUUACCGUAUUUCAUUGAAUCUGGUUUUAAGACACUUCCUGAUUUCAAAGAAACUAAAAGCUCAUCUUGAAGUCCAGGAAGUAGGUUUUGGGUCACUCAGAACUCCCAAGGGACUGUAUUUGGUAGUAACUAGUGAUAAACAAACUGGAGUUUAAAUGAGGACUUUGUCACCAGAGAUAUUUUUAUUGCCUGUAUGGAGCUCCUGCACAAAUUUAUUCCAUUUCUCUUGUAGAAAGAGAUCCAACCUGGCCGUAAAUGGGGUGUGGUGGAGUAGAAAGAAGGGUAUUAAGUAAAGCUCUGUGUCGAUGCCUUUCUGAGCAUUUUACGGUGUUGGCAUAUGUGAUCCUGGGUAUCAGGAGCCUCAAUUUCUUGGGCUGUAAAAAUGGGGAGAACAACGCUGAUCCCAUUGUCUCCUGAUGGGUAAGUGAUGUCUAUAAAUAAAUUGUAUAGAGAUUAAGGCAUUAUCAGUGCUGUAGUCUGAUAAAAUGGUGGAGCAGAUAGGAAAGCCUACAACAGUACUGAACUGCAGGAGGGACUAAGAGUAAAUAUAGAGAUUUCAUUUGCUUGGUUUUGCAGAGGGUUAGCUAACUAAACAGAUAACUUUGUUUUCGACAGUUACUUCAUUUUUUUCAGUCAGGCAAGAGUAAGGAGAGAGUAACUAAACCAUUUUUUUUCCUCUUUAAAUAAGAGUAAGCAGAAAUAUUAUGGUUAUUUGGGGUUUUCAUGACCUUCAUUCACUUAGCGGUCAGGCUGUUCAAUUUAAAACAACCUUUUGCUUGCUGCCCUGCCAUAUGGGAAAUUUCAUUUCCAAAAAAAGGAUUAAUUUCCAGCCUGGGCGAAACCCUAUCUCUACGGAAAAUAUAAAAAUUAGCGGCCAGGAGCAGUGGCUCAUACCUGUAAUCCCAGCACUUUGGGAGGCCGAGGCAGGUGGAUCACGAGGUCAGGAGUUCAAGAUCAGCCUGGCCAAGAUGGUGAAACCCCAUCUCUACUAAAAAUACAAAAAUUAGCCUGAUGUGGUGGCACGCGCCUGUAAUCCCAGCUACUUGGGAGGCUGAGGCAGAGAACUGCUUGAACCUGGGAGCAUUCCAGCCUGGAUGACAGAGUGAGACUCCGUCUCAAAAAAAAAAAAAAAAUUAGCUGGGCGUGGUGGCAUCCGCCUUUGGUCCCAAAUACUCAGGAGGCUGAGGUGGGAGGAUUGCUUGAGCCCAGGAGGUCGAGUCUGCAGUGAGCCGUGAUUGUACCACCACAUCCUAGUCUGAGUGACAGUGUGACACUCUGUCUCAAAAAAGAAAAGAAGAUCAAGAAGGAUUAAUUUAAAUCCUUAUACCAAAUUGUCUACCAAAUGAUUUUUGUUCCACUCCAGAAAUGUUUUCCUCCAGUCCCUUCCUCUCUCUGCACCCUCCUGAGUUCUCCUUUCUUCUGUGGACAACUGUAACUAAUGCGUGUUUUUGCUAGGCUGACCCUUCUUUCAUACUAUGGCCCAAUUAUGUUUUUUCAAAUAAGCUAAUGGAUGUAAGCACUGGUGAAAUCUGAAUAAGGUCUGUAGUCUACUUGAUAGUAUUGUACCAAUGUCAGUUUCCUGGCUUUUGAUAUUUUUCCAUAGCUUUGUAAGAUGUUCCCAUUUGAGAAAGUGUACCUGGGCCCUCUUUGCAACUACCUAUGGGUAAAUGAUUAUUUCAAAGUAAAAAAUUAAAGUAUAGGGACAGAAAUUAGAUCAAUGGUUACUGGCAACUGGAGCUGGGGAAGGGUGGACUGAUCACACUUUUUGAGAUGAUGAGAAUAUUCUCUAACUUGAUUGUGGUAUUUACAUUACUGGAUGACUCUGUGAAUCUGUCAAAACUCAUAGAACUAUACACCUAAAAGGGUGGUUUUUUUUUUUUUUUUUUUUUUUAGAUGAAGUCUCGCUCUUGUCCCCCAGGCUGGAGUGCAAUGGUGUGAUCUCGGCUCAUUGCAACCUCCGCCUCCCGGAUUCAAGCGAUUCUCCUGCCUCAGCCUCCCAAGUAGCUGGGAUUACAGGUGCAUACCACCACGCCCGGCUAAUUUUUUGUAUUUUAAGUAGAGGCGGGGUUUCACCAUGUUGGCCAGGCUGGUCUCGAACUCCUGACCUCAAGUGAUCUACCCGCCUCGGCCACCCAAAGUGCUGGGAUUACAGGCGUGAGCCUCCGCACCCAGCCAAAGGGUGGUUUUUACUUCUAUAUAAAUUAUACUUCAGUAAACCUGAAUUAAGAUAAGGAAAGCAAGCUCUUGGCCGGGUGCAGUGGCUCACGCCUGUAACCCCAGCACUUUGGGAGGCGGAGAUGGGCGGAUCACGAGGUCAAGAGAUCGAGAGCAUCCUGGCUAAAUGGUGAAACCCUGUCUCUACUAAAAAUACAAAAAAAUUAGCCAGGCGUGGUGGUGGGCAUCUGUAGUCCCAGCUACUUGGGAGGCUGAGGCAGGAGAAUGGCGUGAACCCGGGAGGCGGAGCUUGCAGUGAGCCGAGAUCGCGUCCAGACCUGGGUGACAGAGCGAGACUCCCUCUCAAAAAAAAAAGAAAAGCAAGCUCUCAUCACCCCAGCCUCCUGGGGCUUGUAGGAUGAAAUGUAACUUUAAGGCCCAACGUGCUUUUCCAGCAUACGGACUCUUCCUGCCAGCGCACCCUGGGCUUCCUUGUACUGUAUUAAUUCCUGCCCCUGUGCCUUUGUGCAUACUCUUCCUUCUGCUUAGGUGGAGCAUAGGAAAGUAAAGUCAAAAUUCGGGUUCCCUGUACUCCUGUAAGCCUUCCCUGCCUCCCUUAGGCAAACCAGUAAUUUCCUAACUUCCUCCUCUGCUCACUCAUGUCGUGCUGUAAUUUUUAAUUCGUUUUCAUCUUUUUUCUCAACUAGACUCCUCAAAGGCAGCGACCACAUUGUUCUUUGUCUCUGGGAUCCAGUAGUGUUGAAUGAGUGAGUGAAUGAACAAAUUAUUUAUUUAUUUAUUUAUUUAUUUAUUUUUUGAGACAGAGCCUCUCUCUGUCGCACAGGCAGGAGUGCAGUGGUGCGAUCUCGGCUCACUGCAACCUCUGCCUCCCGGGUUCAAGUGAUUCUCCUGCCUCAGCCUCCUGAGUAGCUGGGACUACAGGAGGGUGCCAUGACGCCUGGCUAAUUUUUGUAUAUUUAGUAGAGACGGGGUUUCACCAUGUUGCCCAGGCUGGUCUCAAACUGCUGGCCUCAGGUGAUCCACCCACCUCAGCCUCCCAAAGUCCUGGGAUUACAGCCAUGAGCCACCAGGCCCGGCUGUGAAUGAUGUAGAGCUGAAAGAAAAACUAAUGGUUCUCAAAGUGCGGUCCAAGGUCCCCAAGAGGUGAGGUGAGGUGCUAGGAUUUUCAUGCUUUCAGCAAACAGCACAUCCUAACAGAUUGAAUGCAGAAGAAGAGAAUCCAGCUGUCUUCAUUUAAGCCAAACAUUAAAGAGAUCUGAAAAACAAUAUCGUACUUCCACAUUUUUUGGGAAAAAAUAAGUUAUUUUUCUUUAAAAUGUGUUCUGUUACUAGAUAGUGGGUUUAUUACUGUUUUUAAGUGACUACGUUUUUGUUUGUUUGUUUGUUUGUUUGAGACAGUCUCAUUCUGCCACCCAGGCUGGAGUACAAUGGCGCCAUCUCGGCUCACUGUAACCUCUGCCUCCUGGUUUCAAGCAAUUCUGCCUCAGCCUCCCAAGUAGCUGAGAUUACAGGCCCCCGCCACCACGCCUGGCUAAGUUUUUUGCAUUUUUAGGAGAGAUGGGGUUUUGCUGUGUUAGCCAGGCUGAUCUCAAACUCCUGACCCGCCUUUGCUUCCCAGAGUGCC
This 4912-nucleotide long non-coding RNA is filed under the name Homo sapiens (human). Its description in RNAcentral is "non-protein coding lnc-TRABD2A-5:6". Lineage: Eukaryota; Metazoa; Chordata; Mammalia; Primates; Hominidae. The record is from RNAcentral.